CUACGGGUCGCUGCAGUGAGGAAUAUUGCACAAUGGAGGAAACUCUGAUGCAGCAACGCCGCGUGGAGGAUGACGCAUUUCGGUGUGUAAACUCCUUUUAUAUGUCAAGAAAAUGACGGUAGCAUAUGAAUAAGCUCCGGCUAACUCCGUGCCAGCAGCCGCGGUAAUACGGAGGGAGCAAGCGUUACUCGGAAUCACUGGGCGUAAAGGACGCGUAGGCGGGAUAGAAAGUCAGGUGUGAAAUCCUAUGGCUAAACCAUAGAACUGCACUUGAAACUUCUAACCUAGAGUAUGGGAGGGGAAGAUGGAAUUAGUGGUGUAGGGGUAAAAUCCGUAGAUAUCACUAGGAAUACCAAAAGCGAAGGCGAUCUUCUGGAACAAUACUGACGCUAAGGCGUGAAAGCGUGGGGAGCAAACAGGAUUAGAUACCCGAGUAGUC
This 439-nucleotide ribosomal RNA is filed under the name uncultured bacterium. RNAcentral's name for it is "partial 16S ribosomal RNA". It matches the Rfam family "Bacterial small subunit ribosomal RNA", at positions 339 to 795 of the family's 1533-position model. The record is from RNAcentral.